UGGGGAAUUUUGGACAAUGGGCGCAAGCCUGAUCCAGCCAUGCCGCGUGCGGGAAGAAGGCCUUCGGGUUGUAAACCGCUUUUGUCAGGGAAGAAAUCUUCUGGGUUAAUACCUCGGGAGGAUGACGGUACCUGAAGAAUAAGCACCGGCUAACUACGUGCCAGCAGCCGCGGUAAUGCGUAGGGUGCAAGCGUUAAUCGGAAUUACUGGGCGUAAAGCGUGCGCAGGCGGUUAUGCAAGACAGAUGUGAAAUCCCCGGGCUCAACCUGGGAACUGCAUUUGUGACUGCAUGGCUAGAGUGCGGCAGAGGGGGAUGGAAUUCCGCGUGUAGCAGUGAAAUGCGUAGAUAUGCGGAGGAACACCGAUGGCGAAGGCAAUCCCCUGGGCCUGCACUGACGCUCAUGCACGAAAGCGUGGGGAGCAAACAGGAUUAGAUACCCUGGUAGCCCACGCCCUAAACGAUGUCAACUGGUUGUUGGGAAGGUUCCUUCUCAGUAACGUAGCUAACGCGUGAAGUUGACCGCCUGGGGAGUACGGCCGCAAGGUUG
Molecule: ribosomal RNA, 548 nt
Filed under: uncultured bacterium
Lineage: Bacteria
Description: bacterial SSU rRNA
Rfam family: Bacterial small subunit ribosomal RNA
Source: RNAcentral